RNAcentral lists this ribosomal RNA (433 nucleotides) under uncultured bacterium. RNAcentral's name for it is "partial 16S ribosomal RNA". It matches the Rfam family "Bacterial small subunit ribosomal RNA", at positions 29 to 507 of the family's 1533-position model. The record is from RNAcentral.
AACGAACGCUGGCGGCAUGCCUAACACAUGCAAGUCGAACGAGACCUUCGGGUCUAGUGGCGCACGGGUGCGUAACGCGUGGGAACCUGCCCUUAGGUUCGGAAUAACUCCCCGAGAGGGGUGCUAAUACAGGAUAAUGUCUUAGGACCAAAGAUUUAUCGCCUUUGGAUGGGCGCGGGUUGGAUUAGCUGGUUGGUAGGGUAAAAGCCUACCAAGGCGACGAUCGAUAGCUGGUCUGAGAGGAUGGUCAGCCACGCUGUGAGUGAGACACGGCCCAGACUCCUGCGGGAGGCGGCGGUGGGGAUGAUUGGACGAUGGGCGAAAGCCUGAUCCAGCAAUGCCGCGUGAGUGAGGAAGGCCUUAGGGUUGUAAAUCUCUUUUGCCCGGGAUGAUAAUUACAGGACCGGGAGAAUAAGCUCCGGCUAACUCCGGG